AGGAUAGAGGUUGCGUGACUCAUAAGUAAUACUUUGGAUGUGACAGGCACAGUUGAAGAAGUAUGAAAGGGACGAACGCCGAAAGUGAGAUGGGCUGAACAUCGAGCUUGGGCAUAAGGUUAACAGCUUUAUGACUGUCAUCUUAACUAAGAUGGGGAGCUAUC
This 164-nucleotide non-coding RNA is filed under the name bovine gut metagenome. RNAcentral describes it as "Lysine riboswitch". It matches the Rfam family "Lysine riboswitch aptamer". From Rfam's summary of the family: Riboswitches are metabolite binding domains within certain messenger RNAs that serve as precision sensors for their corresponding targets. The record is from RNAcentral.